RNAcentral lists this transfer RNA (58 nucleotides) under Mus musculus (house mouse). It matches the Rfam family "tRNA", at positions 8 to 63 of the family's 71-position model. From Rfam's summary of the family: Transfer RNA (tRNA) molecules are approximately 80 nucleotides in length. Their secondary structure includes four short double-helical elements and three loops (D, anti-codon, and T loops). The record is from Rfam by way of RNAcentral. Lineage: Eukaryota; Metazoa; Chordata; Mammalia; Rodentia; Muridae.
UAGCUCAGUUGGUAGAGCUUGAGACUCUUAAUCUCAGGAACAUGGGUUCGAGCCCCAC